GAUGAACGCUGGCGGCGUGCCUAAUACAUGCAAGUCGAGCGAACAGACGAGGAGCUUGCUCCUCUGACGUUAGCGGCGGACGGGUGAGUAACACGUGGAUAACCUACCUAUAAGACUGGGAUAACUUCGGGAAACCGGAGCUAAUACCGGAUAAUAUAUUGAACCGCAUGGUUCAAUAGUGAAAGACGGUUUUGCUUUCACUUAUAGAUGGAUCCGCGCCGCAUUAGCUAGUUGGUAAGGUAACGGCUUACCAAGGCGACGAUGCGUAGCCGACCUGAGAGGGUGAUCGGCCACACUGGAACUGAGACACGGUCCAGACUCCUACGGGAAGCAGCAGUAGGGAAUCUUCCGCAAUGGGCGAAAGCCUGACGGAGCAACGCCGCGUGAGUGAUGAAGGUCUUCGGAUCGUAAAACUCUGUUAUUAGGGAAGAACAAAUGUGUAAGUAACUAUGCACGUCUUGACGGUACCUAAUCAGAAAGCCACGGCUAACUACGUG
Molecule: ribosomal RNA, 497 nt
Filed under: uncultured bacterium
Lineage: Bacteria
Description: partial 16S ribosomal RNA
Rfam family: Bacterial small subunit ribosomal RNA
Source: RNAcentral